RNAcentral lists this long non-coding RNA (2112 nucleotides) under Sus scrofa (pig). RNAcentral describes it as "lncRNA (ENSSSCG00025007347.1, ENSSSCG00035059710.1, ENSSSCG00055001772.1, ENSSSCG00065017831.1)". The record is from RNAcentral. Lineage: Eukaryota; Metazoa; Chordata; Mammalia; Artiodactyla; Suidae.
CUGUGGCGUAAGCUGGCAGCUGCAGCUCCCAUUGAACCCCUAGCCUGGGCACUUCCAUAUGCCAUGGGUUCAGUCCUAAAAAGACAACAACAACAACAAGAACUAAAUCUUGAAGAAUUUCAUUUCACAGAUGUUUGAAGGAAGAUCAACUUAGAAAGGGCAUAGAAGACUGCCACAAAAAAUAGGAGAGAGACCAUUAGAGUCAUGAAAACAAAGGGGAGAUAUGCUUUGAUGAAGAGGAGUGAUCAGCAAUGUCAAGUGGACAUGGCUGGAAGAAGUCCUUCAGAGUUAGUGGCAUGGAAGUCACUGGUGAUCCUAGUAAGAGCUAUUUUGAGGAAGGAUGAGGAAAAAGACAAAUUAGAGCAGGGUGAAUAGUGAGUGAGGGCUGUGAAAUUGGAUACAGUCAAAAUAGACAAGUUUUAUCAGAAGAGAAUAGCAGGUAGAAUGAGUAGGAUUUGGGGGAGGGUUUUUAUAUGAGAUGAGAGAGUCUUGAGUAUGUUUUAAAAGUUACUGGUAAAUAUUUAAUUGAUCGGGAGCUGGAAGCUUUUUGAGAGAGAAAAAGGAUCAUGGAUCCUAGUGCUGGCUCAUGAAAAGAUGAGUAGGCAGAAAAGGAUUUGCAGAGAUGCCCACAUUUGCUUGUUUGAUAUGAAGAAGAUGGAGUUCCCCUCCUAGGGAUUCUAUUUUUCUAAAGAAAGAGAGAGUAUCUUUGUCUAUGGGGGAAACAGGGAGGAGAAGUGGAAGUGUGAGGAGAGCUAAGAGAGUUUGAAAUUUGGUAAUUGUGAAGAGUGUGUGUGAGCAGGUUUGAGAAAAGUGGGAUUCUUGAUCACUGUGAAGGGCUCAUUCCCCAGAAGCUUGGGAACGUUCAUUUUCUUAUGCUGUUAAAUAAACAAUCAAUGGUGUAUGCAUGUUUUAUGAAAAAUCCCAGUUAACAAUAUCCAUACAAAUAAGAAAAAAGUAUUUCGGAAAGGUGGGAAAGAUUUUUUUUUUUAAGUGAUUGAUUUUCAGACUGCUUGGGGAGACUGGAAGGAAAAUACUCAUUUGAACACGAAAAUGUAAAUUUUAAAAGAUCUUUGAAUGUGUAUAUACUUACUACAUGACCAGGCUGAGGGGAAAAAAGUUCCUUUUUCAUCUGAGGAAAAUUGACCAAUUUAUCUUGUUCAAACAGUGAAGUUUGGGCUGAGUUAAACAGAAAUGAUUUUAAAAGGAUAUCAGAGUGUGCUUAAAAUGAUGCACUAAGGUUCCUGGAUUUUCAUUUUUAUUGUUGAUCCACUGAUGUUAGAUGUCUGCAAUUUUCCUAUCCACCCAGGAAGAUGAACAGAUGUUUUUGUGAAUGUGAAACUAACUCGGCAAGUAGAGCCUUAUUUUCUAAGCAGUUUUUUGGCUGAGGAAGACAAGGAACAGACACCUGGAGAUUAGAAAUAAGUUUCUAAUCACUAGAAAUGCUUAUUUUAAUGAGUUGGCCUCAGUUGGCAAAUAGAAAUUGCCUAAAUGUGAAAUUCCAUUUCCUAUGUGGAGAGUCCACUACCAGGUAUGUUGGUGGGAGCAUUGCAGAGCAUACAAAAGGAUUUUUUUUCCCUCUUGAAGAAUUUUUUGUUUGGCUGGGGAGGGAAUGUAUUCAUGCAAAAGGUACGAAAGAGACCUUUAGUAACUUCACAGAUGCAGGUGUUUUAAGGAAGUGGGCAAAGGCUCAGAGUAAGAGAAGGAAGAGAUAUCAGAAAGACUCACGGAAGAAGAUUCAGGAAUAAGAAGGUAUCAGUGCUAUAGUCAGAGUAUAGCCAGCUGAUAUAGCUCAGACCUUAGGUGCUUCUAAGGUGCACUCAGGAGAAUAUGGAGAAUCACGUGGAAGAUUUUAAGGGCCAGACCUGGAGAUGGCAUGCAUCGCUUCUGUCCUAUAGCAUUGGCCAGAAGUCAAUCACACAGCCCUAGCUAACUGCAAGAGUGGCUGGGAAAUAUAUAGGCAUCCCUUGGAGAUAGUGUGGGUUUGGUUCCAGGCAUGGCAAUAAAGCAAGUAUCACAAAAUAAGUCACACAAUUUUUUUUUCUGCGCAUAUGAAAGCUAUAUUUACAUUAUCUAUUAAGUGUAUUAAGUGUGCGAUAGCAUUAUGUCUAAAAA